AGAUUGAACGCUGGCGGCAGGCCUAACACAUGCAAGUCGAGCGGUAGAGAGGUGCUUGCAUCUCUUGAGAGCGGCGGACGGGUGAGUAAUGCCUAGGAAUCUGCCUUUUUGUGGGGGAUAACGUAGGGAAACUUACGCUAAUACCGCAUACGACCUACGGGUGAAAGCGGAGGACCUUCGGGCUUCGCGCAGAAAGAUGAGCCGACGUCGGAUUAGCUAGUUGGAGGGGUAAUGGCCCACCAAGGCGACGAUCCGUAGCUGGUCUGAGAGGAUGAUCAGCCACACUGGGACUGAGACACGGCCCAGACUCCUACGGGAGCAGCAGUGGGAAUAUUGGACAAUGGGCGCAAGCCUGAUCCAGCCAUGCCGCGUGUGUGAAGAAGGCCUUCGGUGUAAAGCACUUUUGACGGUAAGAAAAGCAAGUACGGUUAAUACCCGGUGUCCAUGACGUACGUAAG
RNAcentral lists this ribosomal RNA (458 nucleotides) under uncultured soil bacterium. RNAcentral's name for it is "bacterial SSU rRNA". It matches the Rfam family "Bacterial small subunit ribosomal RNA", at positions 26 to 501 of the family's 1533-position model. The record is from RNAcentral.